This 301-nucleotide ribosomal RNA is filed under the name uncultured bacterium. RNAcentral describes it as "partial 16S ribosomal RNA". It matches the Rfam family "Bacterial small subunit ribosomal RNA", at positions 509 to 807 of the family's 1533-position model. The record is from RNAcentral.
CAGCCGCCGCGGUAAUACGUAGGGUGCAAGCGUUAAUCGGAAUUACUGGGCGUAAAGCGUGCGCAGGCGGUUCUAUAAGACAGAUGUGAAAUCCCCGGGCUCAACCUGGGAACUGCAUUUGUGACUGUAGAGCUGGAGUGCGGCAGAGGGGGAUGGAAUUCCGCGUGUAGCAGUGAAAUGCGUAGAUAUGCGGAGGAACACCGAUGGCGAAGGCAAUCCCCUGGGCCUGCACUGACGCUCAUGCACGAAAGCGUGGGGAGCAAACAGGAUUAGAUACCCCUGUAGUCCCUGUCUCUUAUAC